UACGUUCCCGGGCCUUGUACACACCGCCCGUCACACCACGAAAGCUGCUUGAACCAGAAGUCCGUGACCCAACCAACCGGAGGGAACGGCCCAAGGUUUGGGUGGUGAUUGGGGGUGAAGUCGUAAACAAGGUACC
Molecule: ribosomal RNA, 136 nt
Filed under: uncultured bacterium
Lineage: Bacteria
Description: partial 16S ribosomal RNA
Rfam family: Bacterial small subunit ribosomal RNA
Source: RNAcentral